GGAAAGGGAGGUACAGAGGGAGUCUUCAGAGACAGUAGAGGGAAAUGGAUUCUAGGAUUUAGUAAAGGCUUCGCCAACUCAACAAAUAUUCAAAUGGAGGCCAUGUCCCUAUUACAGGAUCUUCAACUAGCCAUCCAAAAUAGACUAACUCCUCUAGUCAUUGAAACGGACUGCCAGGAUCUCAUUAACUUGCUUAAAAAUGAAAAUGUGCU
RNAcentral lists this long non-coding RNA (212 nucleotides) under Nicotiana benthamiana. Its description in RNAcentral is "long non-coding RNA (NBEN_LNC004562)". The record is from RNAcentral. Lineage: Eukaryota; Viridiplantae; Streptophyta; Magnoliopsida; Solanales; Solanaceae.